This 374-nucleotide ribosomal RNA is filed under the name uncultured organism. RNAcentral's name for it is "partial 16S ribosomal RNA". It matches the Rfam family "Bacterial small subunit ribosomal RNA", at positions 527 to 897 of the family's 1533-position model. The record is from RNAcentral.
GUAGGUGGCAAGCGUUGUCCGGAAUUAUUGGGGCGUAAAGCGCGCGCAGGCGGUUCUUUAAGUCUGAUGUGAAAGCCCACGGCUCAACCGUGGAGGGUCAUUGGAAACUGGAGAACUUGAGUACAGAAGAGGAAAGCGGAAUUCCACGUGUAGCGGUGAAAUGCGUAGAGAUGUGGAGGAACACCAGUGGCGAAGGCGGCUUUCUGGUCUGUAACUGACGCUGAGGCGCGAAAGCGUGGGGAGCAAACAGGAUUAGAUACCCUGGUAGUCCACGCCGUAAACGAUGAGUGCUAAGUGUUAGGGGGUUUCCGCCCCUUAGUGCUGCAGCUAACGCAUUAAGCACUCCGCCUGGGGAGUACGGCCGCAAAGGCCUG